GUAUGCACAUAUAAAAAAGUUCACUCUGAAAGUAUGAGUUCACUCGUUUUUCCCAGCUCUCUGGGUCAUUGACUGGGACAUUUGUUGUCCCAAAAGUAACUGGCAGCAUGGCGUACCUGCAGUGCACCUUACAAUAUUAAAGCAAGGUUUUUAUUCUAAAACAGAAUAAAACUGUUCAAUAAAAAAAAAGUUCAUUGAACUGCAUGCU
This 208-nucleotide long non-coding RNA is filed under the name Marmota monax (woodchuck). Lineage: Eukaryota; Metazoa; Chordata; Mammalia; Rodentia; Sciuridae. The record is from RNAcentral.